UCUUCCAUGAAUGAGCUUCACAUAUGUAACUCGGCUACGGCUCAAGUCCCUUGGAACAGGGUGUCGGAGAGGGUGAGAAUCCCGUACCGUGGCGGGUUGCGGCCUUACGAUGCGUCCUCGUCGAGUCGGGUUGCUUGGGAUUGCAGCUUGAAUUGGGUGGUAAAUUCCAUCUAAAGCUAAAUACUGGCGAGAGACCGAUAGCGAACAAGUACCGUGAGGGAAAGAUGCAAAGAACUUUGAAAAGAGAGUCAAAGAGUGCUUGAAAUCGGUAGGAGGAAACCCGGAUGGGCCCGGCUUCGGCGCGCCGACUCAGCCUGGGGUUCUCCCCAGGUGCACUUCUGCGCGCCGGGUCAGCCGCGCCUCGGCGCCGCGCCUCAACCCGGGAGCGGGGCUUUACGGCCAGCUCCCGUCCUGGCGCGGCCCGGGGCCCGGCUGACGGAACGGGCCCCUCCGACCCGUCUAGAAACACGGACCAAGGAGUCUGACACGUGUGCGAGUACCCGGGUGGCAAGCCCGCGUGCGGAAUGAAAGUGAAGGGCAUGCCCUGCCAACCGACCUUGACCUGCUGUGAGGGGUUUGAGUGGAGCACACCUGUCGGGACCCGAAAGAUGGUGAACUAUGCCUGGGUAGGGUGAAGCCAGAGGAAACUCUGGUGGAGGCUCGUAGCGAUACUGACGUGCAAAUCGUUCGUCGAAUCUGGGUAUAGGGGCGAAAGACUAAUCGAACCAUCUAGUAGCUGGUUCCCUCCGAAGUUUCCCUCAGGAUAGCUUGAACGCAACGGUUUUGUCAGGUAAAGCGAAUGAUUAGAGGCCUGUGGGCUGAAACAGCUUGCACCUAUUCUCAAACUUUAAAUGGGCAAGAGGCCCGGGAUGCUUGAGUGAUCCCGGGCGGCGAACGGCGCGUUCAAAGUGGGCCAUUUUUGGUAAGCAGAACUGGCGAUGCGGGAUGAACCGAACGCCGCGCUAAGGUACCCAAGUGUCCGCUCAUCAGAUACCACAAAAGGCGUUGGUACCUCCAGACAGCAGGACGGUGGCCAUGGAAGUCGGAACCCGCUAAGGAGUGUGUAACAACUCACCUGCCGAAGGUACUAGCCCUGAAAAUGGAUGGCGCUCAAGCGGACCACCGAUGCGCGGCCGCCGGCGCGAGCGCGAGGCGCCGGCGAGUAGGAGGGCGCGGGGCUCGCGGCGCAGCCUUGGGCGCGAGCCUGGGUGAAGCGGGCCCCGGUGCAGAUCUUGGUGGUAGUAGCAAAUAUUCAAAUGAGAACUUUGAAGACUGAAGUGGAGAAAGGUUCCGUGUGAACAGCAGUUGGACACGGGUGAGCCGACCCUAAGAGACAGGAAAACUCCGCCGAACGCGGCUGGUUCUGUCAGCCCGUCCGUCGAAAGGGAAUCGGGUUAAUAUUCCCGAGCCAGCGCGUGGAUGGUGGGCGGCGACGCGAACGAACCCGGAGACGCCGGCGGGAGCCCUGGGAAGAGUUCUCUUUUCUUCUUAACUGCCUCCUGCCCUGGAAUCGGUUUAGCCGGAGCGAGGGCUACACGGCAGGCAAAGCACCCUAAGUCUUGGGGUGUCCGGCGCGCUCCCGACGGCCCGUGAAAAUCCGGGGGAGCGGUUCGUUCUCACGCCUGGUCGUACUCAUAACCGCAUCAGGUCUCCAAGGUGAACAGCCUCUAGUCGAUAGAGCAAUGUAGGUAAGGGAAGUCGGCAAAAUGGUUCCGCAACCUCGGGAGAAGGAAUGGCUCUGAAGGCUGGGCGCAGGGGUCCUAGGCUCGAGGCCGGCUGGCUGCGCGGGGACUACGGCCUCACGGCUGCGGAUCCCGCGCGGCCGUCCGGCGGACGGCCUAGGAGCGCUCCGGCUCUCCCUGCGCGACGAACAGCCGCUUCAGAACUGGCGCGGACAAGGGGAAUCCGACUGUUUAAUUAAAACAAAGCAUUGCGAUGGCCCGCGAGGGUGCUGACGCAAUGUGAUUUCUGCCCAGUGCUCUGAAUGUCAAAGUGAAGAAAUUCAACCAAGCGCGGGUAAACGGCGGGAGUAACUAUGACUCUCUUAAGGUAGCCAAAUGCCUCGUCAUCCAAUUAGUGACGCGCAUGAAUGGAUUCGUGAGAUUCCCACUGUCCCUAUCUACUGUCUAGCGAAACCACAGCCAAGGGAACGGGCUUGGAAGAAUCAGCGGGGAAAGAAGACCCUGUUGAGCUUGACUCUAGUCUGUUACUGUGGAACGACUUGAUGGGUGUAGAAUAUGCGGGAGGGGCAACCCGACAGUGAAAUACCGCAACCGUCAACGUUGUUUUACUUACUCGGUGGCGCGGAGGGAGGCUCGCCUCACUUCUGGAUCCAAGCCGCUUCGUGCGCGCGAUCCGCGUCGGGGACACUAACAGGUGGGGAGUUUGGCUGGGGCGGCACGUCUGUUAAAAAAUAACGCAGGCGCCCGAUUUUGAGCUCAAUGAGAACAGAAAUCUCAUGUGGACCGAAAGGGGAAAAGCUCGGUUGAUUUUGAUUUUCAGUACGAAUACAAACCGCGAAAGCGUGGCCUAUCGAUCCUCUCGUCUUUGGGAAUUUCAAGCUAGAGGUGUCAGAAAAGUUACCACAGGGAUAACUGGCUUGUGGCUGCCAAGCGUUCAUAGCGACGUAGCUUUUUGAUCCUUCGAUGUCGGCUCUUCCUAUCACUGCCUCGCAGCGGGGGCCAAAUGCAGGAUUGUUCACCCACCAACAGGGAACGUGAGCUGGGUUUAGACCGUCGUGAGACAGGUUAGUUUUACCCUACUGCUGUCUGUUUUUCUACGGUAAUUUGGUUCAGUACGAGAGGAACCACCAAUUCGCAUCAUCGGUAUAGCCGCCGCCGGAAACGGCGAUGCGGCGAAGCUGCCAUGCGCCGGAUUAUAACUGAACGCCUCUAAGUUAGAAUCCAUGCCGGAAGGAAAGCCACCUACCGGCCCGGGGACGCCACGAGCAACGGUAGCACUGCCUGAGCCGCGAGCGACCACAAUUCACGGACCCGGGCCGACGAAUCCCUUGCAGACGACUUGAAUAAGGAACGGGGUAUUGUACGCGGCAGAGUGGCCUUGUUGCCACGAUCCGCUGAGAUUCAGCCUUGGUUCUGACGAUUUGU
This is a non-coding RNA of Emiliania huxleyi CCMP1516, 3107 nucleotides long. The record is from Rfam. Lineage: Eukaryota; Haptophyta; Isochrysidales; Noelaerhabdaceae.